Non-coding RNA from Zootermopsis nevadensis, 1410 nucleotides. NCBI's taxonomy places the organism in Eukaryota, Metazoa, Arthropoda, Insecta, Blattodea, Termopsidae. The record is from RefSeq and is a predicted model, not a curated record.
CAUCAGUCACAUGAAAGAAUCGCAGUCAAUGGCGGGGACCAACGAAUUGCCGAUUGCUUGCCCUUAGCUCCAGUCCUGAUACCUAAUGGGUUGUAAUGAAGAGGAAAUUCUCAGUUGUGCUGAGGUUCUGGAUGUGAUGAGAGAUAUUUCAGCUCCGGUUUUCAGAUGUUGUGCCUUUAGAUCUUCGCAGCUCCAACAACUUAUUCCACUGGAUCCUCCAAGACAAUACAAUUGAACGGAACAAUGGCGGUGGGUUUGAUGUUUCACUGCCGUAUAUGUGGCAGUACAAUGAAAAUUUCACACACAUCCUUUAUCUAAAAAAUAACACAUGGAGGAACAAUAAAAAGUUUGGAUUAGUGGUGGAUGGACAUUUUGCACAAUUAAACCUGACACAUAAUGUGUUCGAAGACAAUCAGUGUAAGAGUGGCCUCAUAUCCAUUAGAGGGAUGGAAAAACGCAUGAGGAUUGCAUACAAUCCUGUCUUCAGGAAUACUGGCAUGUAUAUGGUGGAAUUUAGGGCUGACACUCAGUCUGAAAUCCUUGGUGAAGUGGAUACAAGGUUCUUUGAGAAUGAAGUUAAAGAGAACCGCUUCAAUGCUGGUCUCAGCAGAGGCUUUCAUCAGGUAAGACUGAUCAGGUUGGUGUAGUAGAAGUAUCGCUCUGAACUUCUAUUCAGGAGGUAUUUAAGUAGUACUUUGAAAUGGAUUAUGACUGUCUGCUUCUACAUUAUUUAUUAUUCAUCAUUUUUGAUCUUUCCAUGUCAUUCUGUGUUAUAUUAGAUCUUCAUUCAAAAAGUAUAAUUGAAUGACCAAAGAAUCAACCAUUAAAUCAGUCCAUCAGGUAAGGGUAGGGCACUUUAUGAGGAAGUAUUUUACUUACUGGCUUAAUUCUAAUGCUUAUGAAAAACAACUAACAACUGUGGAGUGAAAAUUGUGCAAGGAAUAUCUCAUGUCAACUAUUUUGGUGUUUUUCUUUUUUUUGAUUAUUACAUAUAUUUAUGUUACAGUUACUGAAUUUCUCUGGAAAUAUUUUUGAACUUGAGAUUUGGUAUAUCAUUAAAGUCAGUAAACAUUAUCUGGUCUGUUUCUUUUUGAUACAAACAAAAUAUAUUAUUAUUUGAAGAUUUCCGUCUUCUAGGUUGUUGCGCUGUGUAGUCUUACAUAUUAUUAUUCAUUUGAUACAGGAAUUAUAUGAGGUUUUCUGAUGGAAAAUGUAAACCUAUCUCUCUGAUUUAUGUUUAGUGUGUUGUGGUUAUGAAAGUUUUAUUGUCUUGUCAGUAUUUCACCAAAAAGAACCUGAGAAUUAUGUUCUUAAAUAUGGCAAACUUUGCUGAGUUUUAAUUAAGUUUUGUAAACAAAGCACAUGUUUAUAAGUAUUCAUGAAGUUCAAUAUAUUUAAAAAGAUAUUGGA